This 1670-nucleotide ribosomal RNA is filed under the name uncultured dinoflagellate. Its description in RNAcentral is "SSU rRNA". It matches the Rfam family "Eukaryotic small subunit ribosomal RNA". The record is from RNAcentral. Lineage: Eukaryota; Dinophyceae.
AAGGCUGCAAAUGGCUCAUUACAACAGCAACAUAUUUCGCAGUGAUUGACCUUACAUGGAUAACUGUGGAAAUCUAGGGCUAAUACAUGCAGCAAACCUGACUUUGUGGAAAGGUUGCUAUCAUGAGUCAUAGAAUCGACGCAGGCUCUGCCUUGCUAUCAAGGUGAGUCAUGAUAAUUUUGCUGAUCGCACAGCUUGACUGACGAUGAACUGCAUAAGUUUCUGACAUCAGCUUCCGACGCUAGGGUAUUGGCCUACUGUGGCAAUGACGGGUGACGGAGAAUUAGGGUUCGAUUCGGGAGAAGGAACCUGACACAUGGCUUCCACAUCUAAGGAAGGCAGCAGGCGCGCAAAUUACCCAAUCCUGACACGGGGAGGUAGUGACAAACAAUAACAAUACGGGGCAUCCAUGUCUUGUAAUUGGAAUGAGCUAGCUCCAAACAUGUUGGUGAGUAUCAAUUGGAGGGCAAGUCUGGUGCCAGCAGCCGCGGUAAUUCCAGCUCCAAUAGCGUAUAUUAAAACUGUUGCGGUUAAAAAGCUCGUAGUUGGAUUUCUGUCAAGGACAACUGGCCGCCCUCCGGGUGAGUACAUAGUUUGGUCUUGGCAUCUUGCUGGAGACUGUUGCUGCACUCUUGUGUGGUGCAGUGUCCAGCACUUUCACUUUGAGGACAUUGGAGUGCUUCAAGCAGGCACAUGCCUCUGGACACAGUAGCAUGGAAUAAUUAGAUAGGACUUCUGCUCCAAUUUGUCGGUUUCUGGAGCUGAGGUGAGAAUCAAUGGGGAUUGCUGGAAGCAUCCGAAUUUAGCCGUCAGAGGUGAAAUUCUUAGGUUAGCUGAAGAUGGACGACUGCGAAAGCGUUUGCCCAGGAUGUUUUCAUUGAUCAAGAACGAAAGGUAGGGGAUCGAAGACGAUCAGAUACCGUCCUAGUCUUAACCAUAUUCUAUGCCAACUAGGGAUUGGUGGUCGUUAAUUGCACGACCCCAUCAGCACCUGAUGAAACUUCAAAGUCUUUGGGUUCUGGGGGGGGUUUUGGUCGCAAGGUUGAAACUUGAAGGAAUUGACGGAAGGGCACCACCAGGAGUGGAGCCUGCGGUUUAAUUUGGCUCAACACGGGGAAACUUACCAGGUCCAGACAUAGGCAGGAUCGACAGAUUGAUAGCUCUUUCGUGAUUCUAUGGGUGGUGGUGCAAGGCCGUGCUGAGUUGGUGGUGUGAUUUGUCUGGCUAAUUCCGUUAACGAACGAGACCUUAUCUGGCUAAGUAGCUAUACAUACAUAGCGGGGGUUUUGCAGACAGUUUCAGGUCUGUGAUGCCCUUAGAUGUUCUGGGCUGCACGCGCGCUACACUGAUGCUUUCAGCGAGUCCAAUACCUUGAUGAGAGAGGGAGGGGUAAUCUCUGGAAAGUGCAUCGUGAUGGGGAUCGAUUAUUGUCAUUAUUAAUCUUCAACGAGGAAUUCCUAGUAAGCAUGUGUCAUCAGCCCGUGCUGAUUACGUCCCUGCCCUUUGUACACACCGCCCGUCGCUCCCACCGAUUAAGUGAUCCGGUGAAUUAUUUGGACCCGAGUGCGUCCAGUUCCUGGAUGCAUUUGUGGGAAGUUUUGUGAACCUUACCACUUAGUGGAAGGAGAAGUCGUAACAAGGUUUCGGUAGGUGAACCUGCAGAAGGAUCA